UACCGUGUAAACUUGUAAAAACAUGAAGCAAAUUUUCUUAGUUUUUUAAAAACGAAAUUGCAUUUUGUUGAGACCCACAAAUGGUACCGCCAUCGUCAUGAACAGCGCGUUGGUACGUACGUUUUUGUUGUGUGUGUUGCUGAGUGGUAGCGCGCGUCCAUGUGCAUUUCUUCGGCGGCAUGUUCGCGUACGUUCGUUUCCGCGACGACAACGAAAAGCGAAUCGUCCCAGUGGCUGCAUGUAAACACCUCAAGCCGAACGAUACGAGCGAUUUUAAUCCUCGCAAAUGGUACAAAGUCUUCUGGAAAGAUGAAACACACUGCGACCACUACCACGCUCAAGUGAUUAGGCCUUACGCUACCGAGGACGAUGCAGGGAAGGCUACCGAAAAACGAACUUCCAUUCCGCAAAGACCUGGCAGCGACUCCUCCUAUAGCUGCAGUUCAAAUGAAGUGGAUGGAUCGUUUGAAGAACGUCAAGCUGCUGUUAAACAGAAAAUGAAGGAUGUGAGCAGCCAUUUUAAGAAGAAGCAGCGAGACCUCCUGUUUGGUGAUGCUGAGGGCGGAAAAAAGACCGAGAAAGAACUUCUCAAAGAAGAAGUGAAUAUGCUGAAGGCCGAAAAUUCAAAACUCUUGGACCGAAUAAGAAUGCUCGAAAAGGCCCUAUGCAGCAAAAUUUUCAAAACAGGUUUGAUUAUUAUUUCCUUAUAAACUAUUGUCAUGCACUGCUGCUAGUGUUGUAUACAUCAGUAAGUUGCACUUUUCUUAUAACGUACAAUUUUGCUGAAAGCAGAAUGCAAUGCAAGCUCAUAUAUCAUACGUAGAAGUGAUGCGGGCAUGUUUUUCUAAUCACUUGUAAGUAUGCUUCUCCAUGCUGUCACAGCAUGGUGCUCAUAUUAAAGAACACCAGAUGGUCAAAAUUUCUUGAGCCCUCCACUGCGGCGUCCCCCGUAUCACAUCAUGGUUUUGAAAUGUGACACCCAACCUAUUAUUGUACUUUCAUGGCAUAUAUCUCAACUGCAUGCUCUAUUUUAUGUUAUUUGGCCUUGCACACCCUGGUCUCUCUUCAGUCUGAGACCUAAGAAGCUACUGUGACAAUUAAGGGUGCGAUUAACUUUCUUUUGCUGCAUACGUUUCUGCAUACACUUUUUUAUUGCAGAAAAAAACCUCGUUCUGUGCGAGGGCUGCAGCCGCAAGCCAGAACAACAAGUUGCGCCUUUGCCAUCGCCAUGUGCUGCCACGCACCACCACCAUGCAGCCGCCGCGCACCGCUACCGUGCAGCCACUGCGCACCACCACAGCGACCCCGGGCAGCCCUGAAGUGGCCCACACAAGUGCGAGGGAGGCCGAUUACGUGACCACUGACGGAGAGGUAUUGUAAAACUCUAGUGUGCUUUGUCUUAAAGGUAUAAUGCUUUGCUGUAAUGAGAAAAUGUGCAUUGACAUAUUGUUGUGUGCACAUCAUCUUUAACUUGUUUUAUAGGUGCAUCUGGGCAAAGGGAUCACCAUUCCUGAGGGCCUGUACAGCCGCCUCAUGAGCACAAAAAGCGAAACCCGCUUUGUUCGUGAGGCGGCCGUUGCCAUUUAUUCAACGGCAGGCUUGGUUGGGCGGAGUGUAAUUGGAACAGCCUCUAACCGGACAAAGGGAGAGGCAAAACCUCCCUUGGAUAAAGAAAAAUACGCUGUGCUUUCUGAUUUCUUCAACCAUUUUUUGAAAAGCAAUUUUCCAAUUGGAGAGGUCGAGCAAAAGAAGAAGAUACUAAAUAAGGCGCUCGCAAACAAAAUUAACGAUUUGAUGAAAUCAAAAGAUUAAGAAGUCAAUGGAACAUCAAAUAAAAG
This is an RNA transcript of Rhipicephalus sanguineus (brown dog tick), 1838 nucleotides long. RefSeq lists it as uncharacterized. The transcript is spliced from 4 exons. The record is from RefSeq and is a predicted model, not a curated record. NCBI's taxonomy places the organism in Eukaryota, Metazoa, Arthropoda, Arachnida, Ixodida, Ixodidae.